Long non-coding RNA from Sapajus apella (tufted capuchin), 546 nucleotides. RefSeq lists it as uncharacterized. The transcript is spliced from 3 exons. Lineage: Eukaryota; Metazoa; Chordata; Mammalia; Primates; Cebidae. The record is from RefSeq and is a predicted model, not a curated record.
GGAACCCUGGGAAGGCGUCAGGCCUGGUUAGGUGCUGGUUGCGACGGAGCCUAGGGCCAGGAGGCAACUUCGGGGAUCUGGGACCAUGGAGAACCCUUCCACAUAAAGAAGACCUACUUCUUGGAUUUGAGGUCUUGAAGUUAAUAAUGAUCUGAUUCAUUCAGAGAUGAAGAAGAUGACGUUAACAACCAAGAGUGUCUGGAUGCUCUGGUCUUUGAACGAUCAACUCUUUUGAUUACUACAGAAGAGUGGUGAACUAGACAGCCUGGCUUUGCCUCUUACUGCCUUGGGUGAUCUUGGGUAAAAUAUUUAACCGCUAACUCAGUUUCAUCUGCUGUAAAGUGGGGAUAAUAAUCAUUUCUAUCUUAUAAGUUGCCUUUGAGGUUUCAUUGAUUUAAUACAGUAUAGGCAAUAUAUUUAAAUAUAUGUAAACUGAUUAGAGCAGCAGCUGGGGUAUAUAUAGUAGGGGCUCUGGGGGUGUCAGCUGUUAUCACGACUAAAUUACCCGUCUUCUUUUUUUUUUUUUUUUUUUUUGAGACAGAGUCU